This 610-nucleotide long non-coding RNA is filed under the name Oncorhynchus mykiss (rainbow trout). RNAcentral describes it as "lncRNA (ENSOMYG00000061900.1)". Lineage: Eukaryota; Metazoa; Chordata; Actinopteri; Salmoniformes; Salmonidae. The record is from RNAcentral.
UGCCAAGAAUAUUUCCUGAAUCAGUGGUUCACAAACCUCUCAUUGGGGACCCCCAGUUGUUCCAUGUAUUUGAUCAAUUCCAGAGCUAGCACACCUGAUUCAACUUGUGUACUAAUCAUCAAGUUGAAUCAGGUGAGUAUGUGAAUCAGGUGAGCUAGUUCAGGGCUACAACAACAUUGUGACAUGUCUGGGGGUCCCAGAGGAGAAGUUUGAGAACGGCUCUCCUAAAUACUCUUCAUAGGAAUCAGUUAGUAUGUGCAGUACUGAGAAGUGAUCUAGACUCAUAUCAGUGAAUAGGAGUGGAUCCUGUUUGGUACAUUAGGAACACUGCGCCAUACUCACCUUUUUAGCUCUGGAAGCAAAAUGCAGAGGAUGCUUCAACAGAAACUGAGCUGCAUUCUUGCUUCUGUAAAGAGAGGGAGCCCUGCUUGCCUGUUCUGUAUCAGCAUCAGACAAGGCAGGCCUUUUGUAUGAGGAAGGGAAGUGGGGAGAGACCCCACCAAAACACAAGCCCAGCAUAGAGCCACAUUACCUGCUCCACUGGCUAAAUAGAUCAAUCCAUUUCUGCUCCCACCAUACAAUUAUGUUGUUGACAAUUACAAGUAAAAAG